CACAAAGGUAGAAAAGAAUAGGAAGAAAUAAAAGUAUGGAAGAAAGUUGAUCUCAUAAACCGCACAGUAGGUGUGAGACAUAUUGCGAGUUGCUAUAAAUAAUAUGUCCAGUUUCCGACUCAAGCUCAAUAUAUAAAUAAAGAGAAAUGAUUUCAGAUAUUGAUGCUGUGAUCUCAAAUGGCUCAAAAUCGAGAUCAUCAACGCAAGCGAUCAGAACGAGGUUUUUGGAAACAAUCUUGAUAACUUCUUUCUUAUUCGCCGCAAUUCUCUUAGUCAUUCCUUACCAAUACAAAAAUGGCUACCCUGUUCCCACCGUGAUAUUCAACGGCAUCCCCUCUUCCGGUUUUCAUGCAUUUGUUGUAUCGCUCGUGUAUGCCUUCACCGGCGCCCUCACCGCUUUGUUAAUUCAUGACACCGCCGCCGCCUCAUUUCUUGCCAGAUUUUGUGAGCUUGUUUCAAUCCUUUGUAUGACAUCGGCUCUGUCUUUGUUGGUUUGGUCCCUCUUCACUCUCAGUUUUCCAAAGCCAUGUAUGCGAUUGGGAAGAAUUUAAGAGGAACUCCUCGCCCAAAACAGAAGUCGAAAAUAUAGUUACAUAUCAAUUAAUACAAUACGUAAGGGUUUAUAUUUGCAACCAUUGCGGCUCGUCCUUCCCUUCCCUUUGCAACUUCUACUUCUACCAUCUUGUUUAUGAGGUUUGUUUGUUUGUUUGUUUGUUUUUUUUUUUUUCAAAUUUUUGGAUUAAGAGUUUGCAAUCAAUGCCUUGCCAAAUUAGAAACGUUUGUCAUUUGUUGGUGAUAUGUUGUCAUCAUUAUACGUAAUGUAUAUGUACAUCCUUGUGGCUAGUUUGUUUGAGUGAGUGAUUAUUAGUGUGGUAGUAUUAAGUUAAUUGAUAUUAAAUUUAUGGAAUUACUUAGAAAUCUUUAUUA
Non-coding RNA from Camellia sinensis, 927 nucleotides. NCBI's taxonomy places the organism in Eukaryota, Viridiplantae, Streptophyta, Magnoliopsida, Ericales, Theaceae. The record is from RefSeq and is a predicted model, not a curated record.